CCCUUAGAUGUUCUGGGCCGCACGCGCGCUACACUGAUGCAUUCAACGAGUCUAAAACCUGGUCUGAUAGGGCUGGGUAAUCUUUUGAAUGUGCAUCGUGAUUGGGAUAGAUGAUUGCAAUUCUUCAUCUUCAACGAGGAAUGCCUAGUAAACGCAAGUCAUCAGCUUGCAUUGAUUACGUCCCUGCCCUUUGUACACACCGCCCGUCGCUCCUACCGAUUGAAUGUUCCGAUGAAUACCAUGGACUGAGAGUAUGAAUGGGUUCGCCUAUUUCUGCUUCUCGGGAAGUGGAGUAAAUCUUAACAUUUAGAAGAAGGAGAAGUCGUAACA
This 330-nucleotide ribosomal RNA is filed under the name uncultured eukaryote. Its description in RNAcentral is "partial 18S ribosomal RNA". It matches the Rfam family "Eukaryotic small subunit ribosomal RNA", at positions 1470 to 1796 of the family's 1831-position model. The record is from RNAcentral.